AUCCAGCUGACGAGUCCCAAAUAGGACGAAAUGCACAUCCUGGAU
Trichobilharzia regenti is the source of this 45-nucleotide non-coding RNA. Lineage: Eukaryota; Metazoa; Platyhelminthes; Trematoda; Strigeidida; Schistosomatidae. The record is from Rfam.